Molecule: ribosomal RNA, 253 nt
Filed under: uncultured bacterium
Lineage: Bacteria
Description: partial 16S ribosomal RNA
Rfam family: Bacterial small subunit ribosomal RNA
Source: RNAcentral
UACAGAGGUGGCAAGCGUUGUUCGGAAUUACUGGGCGUAAAGGGCGCGUAGGCGGCCAUCUAAGUCAGACGUGAAAUCCCCCGGCUUAACCUGGGAACUGCGUCUGAUACUGGACGGCUGGAGUUUGGGAGAGGGAUGUAGAAUUCCAGGUGUAGCGGUGAAAUGCGUAGAUAUCUGGAGGAACACCGGUGGCGAAGGCGGCAUCCUGGACCGGUAUUGACGCUGAUGCGCGAAAGCCAGGGGAGCAAACGGG